RNAcentral lists this ribosomal RNA (466 nucleotides) under uncultured Brucella sp. RNAcentral's name for it is "bacterial SSU rRNA". It matches the Rfam family "Bacterial small subunit ribosomal RNA", at positions 126 to 624 of the family's 1533-position model. The record is from RNAcentral. Lineage: Bacteria; Pseudomonadati; Pseudomonadota; Alphaproteobacteria; Hyphomicrobiales; Brucellaceae.
GUACCUUUUGCUACGGAAUAACUCAGGAACUUGUGCUAUACCGUAAUGUGCCCUUCGGGGGAAAGAUUUAUCGGCAAAGGAUCGGCCCGCGUUGGAUUAGCUAGUUGGUGAGGUAAAGGCUCACCAAGGCGACGAUCCAUAGCUGGUCUGAGAGGAUGAUCAGCCACACUGGGACUGAGACACGGCCCAGACUCCUACGGGAGGCAGCGGUGGGGAAUAUUGGCCAAUGGGCGCAAGCCUGAUCCAGCCAUGCCGCGUGAGUGAUGAAGGCCCUAGGGUUGUAAAGCUCUUCCACCGGUGAAUAUAAUGACGGUAACCGGAGAAGAAGCCCCGGCUAACUUCGUGCCAGCAGCCGCGGUAAUACGAANGGGGCUAGCGUUGUUCGGAUUUACUGGGCGUAAAAGCGCACGUUAGGCGGACUUUUAAGUCAGGAGUGAAAUUCCCNGGGGCUCNACCCCGGAACUGC